RNAcentral lists this long non-coding RNA (1095 nucleotides) under Serinus canaria (Common canary). RNAcentral describes it as "lncRNA (ENSSCAG00000007222.1)". The record is from RNAcentral. Lineage: Eukaryota; Metazoa; Chordata; Aves; Passeriformes; Fringillidae.
GGUUAAGUGAGGGAGAACUAACCAGAAACUGAGAUCAGCAGAAGCAUUCUGCAUAACUGUUCCCAGGCCUGAGUAAUAAAGACCGAUUGAGAAUUCUUCAAAGUGAUUUACAUGCAGUUCUUAGCACAGCUGUUUGCUGGGGGUGUGUGCUCUGUGUGGGGGAUCUAUCAGCAGUCUGGCUACCUCUGUGUGAUCUUGGCUUUGCCUGGAACAGCACAUAAUAUACUGGCAUUUUGGAUCUGCAGGAGAAAACCAGAAUGUUUCCACCAUCAAAGGUCUCUUGGAGUUGAUGAAAGAAGGCUGGAACAGUCCUGGUUUUUGGACUUUCUUUUCUUAAGAGCCACAUUGAUACUUUCAGUUCUGUCCUCUUCAUGCCCAGCUGUGACAAGGUGGGAGCUGGAAGAUUCUUAUUAUUGCAUGGAGGAGCUGGGAUUUUUUCCUGGUACUGGCAGAAAUUUCUGAACCCCAGAUUUGCCAACUAAUCCAUAAAAGUGCUUUCUGGUGAAGACAGACACAUGAAUCUUACAGUGUGGUUCUUGAGAAGGCACUUUGAAAAUGGGAUUUACUGUUGAGGUGGAACACCAGAGGCUGUCACACCACUAAGCUGAGAGUAAACAGAGAAGAAAGCCCACAUGAGAAUGCCAUGAAAGUGGGUAUAAAUGAGGGAGGGAGUAAACUCUUGCAUCCAAACAGAGUUUAGCAUUUGCCUGUAACAUGCAGGUGCUUUGCCAGCAUGAAGAACAGAAAUGAGAAGUGAAAAUCUACAUCUCCAUGUUCAUCUUUCAGCAGGCUUCCAAGCAUGCACAUUUCGUUCAAAAUCACUACCAAGCUGUUUAUGAUACAUCUGUGCCAACUGCAAUGUUUUAUGUAGUCACUGAAGCCAAAUCACUGUGACCUGAUGUGACUCAGUUUUCUAAAAGGGUGCAUCUUGAGAAUUCUCAUUUUCAUCAGUUCAAAGUGAAACACUAGGAAAAGUGUUGGAAUGGAUCUGAAAACAGUGCAGCAUUCUUAUGCAGAGGCAAGACUGCCAUUCAGGCAAACACCAGAAGAAAAUCUGUCUUGGGUGUGUUUUUCAAAAUGAGUCUGAAAUGUUCG